Molecule: ribosomal RNA, 505 nt
Filed under: uncultured bacterium
Lineage: Bacteria
Description: bacterial SSU rRNA
Rfam family: Bacterial small subunit ribosomal RNA
Source: RNAcentral
GAUCCUGGCUCAGGAUGAACGCUAGCUACAGGCUUAACACAUGCAAGUCGAGGGGAAACGAUAGAGAAAGCUUGCUUUUUCUAGGCGUCGACCGGCGCACGGGUGAGUAACGCGUAUCCAACCUGCCCACCACUUGGGGAUAACCUUGCGAAAGUAAGACUAAUACCCAAUGACGUCUCUAGAAGACAUCUGAAAGAGAUUAAAGAUUUAUCGGUGAUGGAUGGGGAUGCGUCUGAUUAGCUUGUUGGCGGGGUAACGGCCCACCAAGGCGACGAUCAGUAGGGGUUCUGAGAGGAAGGUCCCCCACAUUGGAACUGAGACACGGUCCAAACUCCUACGGGAGGCAGCAGUGAGGAAUAUUGGUCAAUGGACGAGAGUCUGAACCAGCCAAGUAGCGUGCAGGAUGACGGCCCUAUGGGUUGUAAACUGCUUUUAUAAGGGAAUAAAGUGAGUCUCGUGAGACUUUUUGCAUGUACCUUAUGAAUAAGGACCGGCUAAUUCCGUG